This 2789-nucleotide ribosomal RNA is filed under the name Escherichia coli. Its description in RNAcentral is "bacterial LSU rRNA". It matches the Rfam family "Bacterial large subunit ribosomal RNA". Lineage: Bacteria; Pseudomonadati; Pseudomonadota; Gammaproteobacteria; Enterobacterales; Enterobacteriaceae. The record is from RNAcentral.
AGCGUACACGGUGGAUGCCCUGGCAGUCAGAGGCGAUGAAGGACGUGCUAAUCUGCGAUAAGCGUCGGUAAGGUGAUAUGAACCGUUAUAACCGGCGAUUUCCGAAUGGGGAAACCCAGUGUGUUUCGACACACUAUCAUUAACUGAAUCCAUAGGUUAAUGAGGCGAACCGGGGGAACUGAAACAUCUAAGUACCCCGAGGAAAAGAAAUCAACCGAGAUUCCCCCAGUAGCGGCGAGCGAACGGGGAGCAGCCCAGAGUCUGAAUCAGUGUGUGUGUUAGUGGAAGCGUCUGGAAAGGCGCGCGAUACAGGGUGACAGCCCCGUACACAAAAAUGCACAUGCUGUGAGCUCGAUGAGUAGGGCGGGACACGUGGUAUCCUGUCUGAAUAUGGGGGGACCAUCCUCCAAGGCUAAAUACUCCUGACUGACCGAUAGUGAACCAGUACCGUGAGGGAAAGGCGAAAAGAACCCCGGCGAGGGGAGUGAAAAAGAACCUGAAACCGUGUACGUACAAGCAGUGGGAGCACAGAGCAAUCUGUGUGACUGCGUACCUUUUGUAUAAUGGGUCAGCGACUUAUAUUCUGUAGCAAGGUUAACCGAAUAGGGGAGCCGAAGGGAAACCGAGUCUUAACUGGGCGUUAAGUUGCAGGGUAUAGACCCGAAACCCGGUGAUCUAGCCAUGGGCAGGUUGAAGGUUGGGUAACACUAACUGGAGGACCGAACCGACUAAUGUUGAAAAAUUAGCGGAUGACUUGUGGCUGGGGGUGAAAGGCCAAUCAAACCGGGAGAUAGCUGGUUCUCCCCGAAAGCUAUUUAGGUAGCGCCUCGUGAAUUCAUCUCCGGGGGUAGAGCACUGUUUCGGCAAGGGGGUCAUCCCGACUUACCAACCCGAUGCAAACUGCGAAUACCGGAGAAUGUUAUCACGGGAGACACACGGCGGGUGCUAACGUCCGUCGUGAAGAGGGAAACAACCCAGACCGCCAGCUAAGGUCCCAAAGUCAUGGUUAAGUGGGAAACGAUGUGGGAAGGCCCAGACAGCCAGGAUGUUGGCUUAGAAGCAGCCAUCAUUUAAAGAAAGCGUAAUAGCUCACUGGUCGAGUCGGCCUGCGCGGAAGAUGUAACGGGGCUAAACCAUGCACCGAAGCUGCGGCAGCGACGCUUAUGCGUUGUUGGGUAGGGGAGCGUUCUGUAAGCCUGUGAAGGUGUGCUGUGAGGCAUGCUGGAGGUAUCAGAAGUGCGAAUGCUGACAUAAGUAACGAUAAAGCGGGUGAAAAGCCCGCUCGCCGGAAGACCAAGGGUUCCUGUCCAACGUUAAUCGGGGCAGGGUGAGUCGACCCCUAAGGCGAGGCCGAAAGGCGUAGUCGAUGGGAAACAGGUUAAUAUUCCUGUACUUGGUGUUACUGCGAAGGGGGGACGGAGAAGGCUAUGUUGGCCGGGCGACGGUUGUCCCGGUUUAAGCGUGUAGGCUGGUUUUCCAGGCAAAUCCGGAAAAUCAAGGCUGAGGCGUGAUGACGAGGCACUACGGUGCUGAAGCAACAAAUGCCCUGCUUCCAGGAAAAGCCUCUAAGCAUCAGGUAACAUCAAAUCGUACCCCAAACCGACACAGGUGGUCAGGUAGAGAAUACCAAGGCGCUUGAGAGAACUCGGGUGAAGGAACUAGGCAAAAUGGUGCCGUAACUUCGGGAGAAGGCACGCUGAUAUGUAGGUGAAGCGACUUGCUCGUGGAGCUGAAAUCAGUCGAAGAUACCAGCUGGCUGCAACUGUUUAUUAAAAACACAGCACUGUGCAAACACGAAAGUGGACGUAUACGGUGUGACGCCUGCCCGGUGCCGGAAGGUUAAUUGAUGGGGUCAGCGCAAGCGAAGCUCUUGAUCGAAGCCCCGGUAAACGGCGGCCGUAACUAUAACGGUCCUAAGGUAGCGAAAUUCCUUGUCGGGUAAGUUCCGACCUGCACGAAUGGCGUAAUGAUGGCCAGGCUGUCUCCACCCGAGACUCAGUGAAAUUGAACUCGCUGUGAAGAUGCAGUGUACCCGCGGCAAGACGGAAAGACCCCGUGAACCUUUACUAUAGCUUGACACUGAACAUUGAGCCUUGAUGUGUAGGAUAGGUGGGAGGCUUUGAAGUGUGGACGCCAGUCUGCAUGGAGCCGACCUUGAAAUACCACCCUUUAAUGUUUGAUGUUCUAACGUUGACCCGUAAUCCGGGUUGCGGACAGUGUCUGGUGGGUAGUUUGACUGGGGCGGUCUCCUCCUAAAGAGUAACGGAGGAGCACGAAGGUUGGCUAAUCCUGGUCGGACAUCAGGAGGUUAGUGCAAUGGCAUAAGCCAGCUUGACUGCGAGCGUGACGGCGCGAGCAGGUGCGAAAGCAGGUCAUAGUGAUCCGGUGGUUCUGAAUGGAAGGGCCAUCGCUCAACGGAUAAAAGGUACUCCGGGGAUAACAGGCUGAUACCGCCCAAGAGUUCAUAUCGACGGCGGUGUUUGGCACCUCGAUGUCGGCUCAUCACAUCCUGGGGCUGAAGUAGGUCCCAAGGGUAUGGCUGUUCGCCAUUUAAAGUGGUACGCGAGCUGGGUUUAGAACGUCGUGAGACAGUUCGGUCCCUAUCUGCCGUGGGCGCUGGAGAACUGAGGGGGGCUGCUCCUAGUACGAGAGGACCGGAGUGGACGCAUCACUGGUGUUCGGGUUGUCAUGCCAAUGGCACUGCCCGGUAGCUAAAUGCGGAAGAGAUAAGUGCUGAAAGCAUCUAAGCACGAAACUUGCCCCGAGAUGAGUUCUCCCUGACUCCUUGA